CAAUUUUUUCCUAAUAUAGGAUUUCUCUAUAUUUUUCUAUAAAUGAACUUUAUCUUAUACUUAAUAGAAAAAUAACAUAAAAAAAUGGGGUCACCGUUCAUUUACGCUCACAAUCUAUCUUCGAAAGAAGCAUACAUUUAUGAAAAAGUACUUUUUUUCUGUUGAACUUAUAAGAGAAAAAGAGGUAAUAUUGAAAUAAAAAAAAGAACUAAAUUACAGAAAUCGAUAAAAUUUUACAAUAGUUUAGUUCAAGUACAGCUUAUUUGAAAAUAAUAAUAAAAAAUAUAGGUCACGGAUGACUUAAAGAAGACAUUUCAAUUUUAAUUCCCAAAAAUGGCAUUUUUGCACCAAAGGGAGAUAAUUUGGAGCUUUUUCAAUGAUACAUAUAUUUUAAAAGUCAUCUGGGGCCAAAACCAAAUGAUUUAUUUGACUGAUUUUUGUACCAUAUGAUAAAGUAACAACUAAUAAAGUAAUAAAUAAAAUUUGUAAUGAAAAAAAAAAUGGGUUUUUUUCUGAAAUUUUUAUACCCUCGAGC
This 535-nucleotide long non-coding RNA is filed under the name Mytilus galloprovincialis (Mediterranean mussel). Lineage: Eukaryota; Metazoa; Mollusca; Bivalvia; Mytilida; Mytilidae. The record is from RNAcentral.